GCGUUUUAAGGAAGUUAGUCGAAAGGGAGAGACAGAAACGCACCCAAGGUAAAGUUCGAAAUUAUUGUUUAUCUUCGGGAGGGAAGACAGCUCGUUCAAAAUGUCUGCAUUUGUCAACAAUCCCUUUGUUGACCCGGUGGAGGUCAAUCCUUUCCAGGAUCCUGCAGUGACCCAAGUAACCAGCACAGGCAUAGACCAUGUUGAGGAAUUCAAUCCCUUCUCUGAUACCAACACAGGGGACCUCCAUGAUGUGACCACCAUCCCUGCUACCACCACACCCUCCUCCCAGCCUGCUGGAAACCCCCAGAAAAACUGAGCGUGUAGCCUGGCUGCCAACUCCUGAGGACAACCAUCAGCAACAUACCAUGAGCAAGCAAGAUUGCAAAUGAUGACAUCUUGCAGUCUGUUAUCAGUCAUUAGUUAUGCCAUUUCUUGGUUUCCCAGUUUACCCUGUUAGGAUGAGCCUGGAUUGAAAGUUGUUUACUGAUAGGACCUUGAACAGGAAGGGCAGCUGUCCUUGGAAGGUGUCUUUGACCUUUGACCCCAAGCAUCCUGGACAAUCUGCGAUCCACUGGCCCAGUGUCCGCUGUGACAUCCUAUUGUCUUUGAUGAGAGCAUCUCCUUUGGGGUGAGCACCCAUCCACAGCUGAGAAAGACCAGUGUUUAAUUACUGGAUGAACAGCAAAAUUAGAUCAUAUCCAAAUUUAACAGGCUGUGAAUGGCUACACCAUAUGUUCCUUUAUUAAACAAACUGGCUGACAGACCACAUCCUAAUGCUGAAAAAUACAGCCAACCGUGCUUGGGGAAAUAAAAUGAAGGCAGUUCUAUAUUCUGUCAUUCUAAUGAAAUCUCAAAACCUUCAUAAACAGAGUCAACAGUUAUACAAUGACAGUAGCUCAUAGUAUAAACUGAAUGUCUUUGCAACCAGCCACGGUUGCCCAAUGGUGUAGGCCCAUAACCCAGCCUUUAAUCCUUAAGUUUGUAUUUUUAUUCUUAGGUUAUGGAAGGAUAAUUAAUGCUGUAUCAAUUCCUUAACCUUAUAAGAGAACAGGCAGGGGGCAUUGACUCAUGAAAUAUUAUACUGAGGUCUCAAAGUUUUCUAUAAAAAGAAUAACCCGUGAUGUGUAUCAGAACCAAACACACAUCCUUCCAAAAUUGCAGAGGAGCUCGGGUUCAACAUAAACUCACUUGCACAUAUUUGAACAAUAUAAUUAAAAUUGUUUUUACAUUUUCAAUAUGAACUGUAGCGCAUACAUUUAUGGCAUUUGUCAUGAUCUAUAAAAUGUCAUACUGAGCCUAUCAUAACAAAAAUACAUAUUUUGUGUGAUUAAAUAUAUUUUCCCCAGCCCACCUUUAGCCACCGAAAUAUCUCACCUCUGCGUACGGUUGGUCAUUUUCAAUUACUGCUUGCGGAUCCCCUCCAAGAACAAGUUUGGCUACUUCACUGUUGAGCCCCACUUUUCCCCAAGCAUAUUUUUGAACCACACAUGCCAGUGACAAUACUGCAGAAAAAUAAUAAUAAAUACGAACAAAUGGAGCAUGUACAUUUUUCGAAUAAUCGACUACAGUGUCCUAAACUAGAUGACAGAAAUACAAACUAAAGCCAAAAAUAAACCACAGGAGGCUACAAGAUCUAUUUGAAAUGUGCCGCUUAAAAAUACCAUUGAUAUUCCAUCAAAUAAAUCGACAUCGUAUUUUCCAUGAGUUCGGUAGCAAUGUCAAAGCUAGCUAACUAGUUACAAUAACAAUGGAUGCAGUUUGAGAGUUUCCCUUGUUGGUCAUUCAACCCGGUUUUGCUUGCCAAAUCUGCGAUGAUAAUUUCGGAACUACCGCAGCUGGUCGAACCUGUACCUUGGUAUGCAACGUUGGAGGAGAAAACGUGUUUAAUGGCUACACUACAUUUGAAUGUCAAUUCGCCACAACUCAAGAGCGAACGGCCGCUGAUCUGUCAGAUCAAGCAAUUCGCUCUAAACAGCAGGCUGGAGAUGUGUACCUAGCUAACCAGCUAGCUAGCUUGUUUCAUCGUUAAUAUAGAAUCGCAAUUUCCCUUUGCUUUUCGUUUCAGGCACAUGCUUGCGAUAAUUGUAAUAUACCCUUUGGCGUUGACAUUACAUUAUAACCAGUUUGUUUGCUAAUUUACGAAUUAUUGUAUAUUGUUGUAUAUUGUUAUACAUCACCGGCCUGAUAAUCACGCCUCGGAUAAACGUUCUUUUAUUGAGUUUUACUUACGUUCACUUUUACAUUACAUUUACGUUCAUAUUUACAUUUACUUACGUUUACUUACAUAACACAUAUUUACAUUACAGACGUCAGACAGUAACAAACAGUUACAUUUAAACAUGAUGGCCGACAAUAUCACAAUACAUUUAAACAGUAGACAUUUCAUACAAUACCCACAGGAAGAGUUCGGGCUGGUUCAGGUGGCAUGGAGUGUCUUGUGAGUGACUGUUUGUAGAUGCAUUGUCCAGGCUGUCUGUGUCAUAUGCAUAUCUGUGUGCUGUUGUCAAUUUUCCAUUUUGUGUUCGUGGUGUUUUUUCCGGCUUUGUGGCAGUCCAGGUGGUAGUAGUCCUUGAUGUGAUUAGUGAUUUGGCGGGUGAUGAUGACACUGUGGAGUUCCUGUUCAUGAAAGAGCAUGAUGUUGCGUGUGUCCCAUAACGUGUGUUUGUUUGGUGAUGUUGAUCACCCUCCAGGCAAUCUCCUCCUCCGCAGAUGUGAUCCCGUUGUGGGGGCCGAGGAGGAUAUCCCGGAGGGUCAGUGACUGUGUGUCCGUGUAUGUGUCCAGGAAUGUGAAAACAGAUUGCCAGAUGGAUUUGGCCUUUCUGCAGUGCCACAGGAGGUGAUCUACGGUUUCCUUAACAUUGCAGCGUUGGUAUGGGCAUGUCUCCACCAGGGCCAAGCUCCUCCUGAACAUGAACACCCUUGUGGGGAGAGCUUUCAGCACAGCCAGCCACGCCAGGUCUCUUUGUGUGUUCAGAAGGCAUGGGUGAUUGAUGUUCUUCCAAACUGUAGUGGCUGUGCUAUGGGUCGUGUUGUCGGGUCUGUGCAUUUGUUCCUGUGCUUUUGUUGUGUUUUUGAUUUCUUGCAGUGUGCAGACGUGAAGUGUAGAUGUACUGGCGGAGUGACCUGUAUGGCUGGGGGGGGGUCCCAGGAGUAGGGGUGCCUGUGAUCCAGGAUGCAGAGCCCCAGGGGUCGUAAACUGGUAAUAGAUAUAACAAAUAGAAUAUUUUUGUCUAAAAUCACAUCAUGUAUCUAAUAAAUACAGUAAUUGCAAUCACA
Molecule: long non-coding RNA, 3276 nt
Organism: Conger conger (European conger)
Lineage: Eukaryota; Metazoa; Chordata; Actinopteri; Anguilliformes; Congridae
Exons: 3
Source: RefSeq, a predicted model, not a curated record